Pteropus vampyrus (large flying fox) is the source of this 102-nucleotide small nuclear RNA. The record is from Ensembl. Lineage: Eukaryota; Metazoa; Chordata; Mammalia; Chiroptera; Pteropodidae.
UCACUUCAGCAGUGCGUAUACUAAAAUUGGAACUGUAUGAGGAAGAUUAGCAUGGCCCUGUGCAAGGAUGACAUGAAAAUUCAUAAAGCAUUCUAUAUCUAA